This 497-nucleotide ribosomal RNA is filed under the name uncultured bacterium. Its description in RNAcentral is "partial 16S ribosomal RNA". It matches the Rfam family "Bacterial small subunit ribosomal RNA", at positions 28 to 507 of the family's 1533-position model. The record is from RNAcentral.
GAUGAACGCUGGCGGCGUGCCUAAUACAUGCAAGUCGAGCGAACGGACGAUACGCUUGCUUCUCUGAUGUUAGCGGCGGACGGGUGAGUAACACGUGUAUAACCUACCUAUCAUACUGGGAUCACUUCGGGAAACCGUAUCUAAUACCGUAUAAUAUUUUGAACCGCAUGGUUCAAUAGUGAAAGACGGUCUUGCUGUCACUUAUCGAUGGAUCCGCGCUGCAUUAGCUAGUUGGUAAGGUAACGGCUUACCAAGGCAACGAUGCAUAGCCGACCUGAGAGGGUGAUAGGCCACACGGGAACUGAGACACGGUCCAGACUCCUACGGGAGGCAGCAGUAGGGAAUCUUCCGCAAAGGGCGAAAGCAUGACGGAGUAACGCCGCGUGAGUGAUGAAGGUCUUCGGAUCGUAAAAAUCUGUUAUUAGGGAAGAACAUAUGUGUAAGUAACUGUGCACAGAUUGACGGUACCUAAUCAGAAAGCCACGGCUAACUACGUG